GACGCGAACGUUUCCUUCGGGAAGCUAGUAGAGUGGCGCACGGGUGAGUAACGCGUAAGUAAUCUACCCUCGCAUCUGGGAUAACCCACCGAAAGGUGUGCUAAUACCUGAUACGUCUGGAAUUAUACUUUGAGUCCAGAGAAAGGUGGCCUCUUCAUGAAAGCUACUGUGCGGGGAGGAGCUUGCGUACCAUUAGCUAGUUGGUAGGGUAACGGCCUACCAAGGCGAUGAUGGUUAGCGGGUCUGAGAGGAUGAUCCGCCACACUGGAACUGAAACACGGACCAGACUCCUACGGGAGGCAGCAGUGAGGAAUAUUGCGCAAUGGGGGCAACCCUGACGCAGCGACGCCGCGUGGAUGAUGAAGGCCUUCGGGUUGUAAAAUCCUGUCAGAUGGGAAGAAGUGCAUCAUGUUUAAUACAUGUGGUGUUUGACGGUACCAUCAAAGGAAGCACCGGCUAACUCCGUGCCAGCAGCCGCGGUAAUACGGAGGGUGCAAGCGUUGUUCGGAAUUACUGGGCGUAAAGCGCGCGUAGGCGGCUAUUCAAGUCAGAUGUGAAAGCCCGCGGCUCAACCGUGGAAGUGCAUUUGAAACUGUGUAGCUUGAGUACUGGAGGGGGUAGUGGAAUUCCCGGUGUAGAGGUGAAAUUCGUAGAUAUCGGGAGGAAUACCGGUGGCGAAGGCGACUACCUGGCCAGAUACUGACGCUGAGGUGCGAAAGCGUGGGGAGCAAACAGGAUUAGAUACCCUGGUAGUCCACGCCGUAAACGAUGUCAACUAGGUGUUGGGAUGGUUAAUCGUCU
Molecule: ribosomal RNA, 801 nt
Filed under: uncultured bacterium
Lineage: Bacteria
Description: bacterial SSU rRNA
Rfam family: Bacterial small subunit ribosomal RNA
Source: RNAcentral